RNAcentral lists this ribosomal RNA (492 nucleotides) under uncultured bacterium. RNAcentral's name for it is "partial 16S ribosomal RNA". It matches the Rfam family "Bacterial small subunit ribosomal RNA", at positions 29 to 507 of the family's 1533-position model. The record is from RNAcentral.
AGUGAACGCUGGCGGUAGGCCUAACACAUGCAAGUCGAACGGCAGCACAGUAAGAGCUUGCUCUUACGGGUGGCGAGUGGCGGACGGGUGAGGAAUACAUCGGAAUCUACUUUUUCGUGGGGGAUAACGUAGGGAAACUUACGCUAAUACCGCAUACGACCUACGGGUGAAAGCAGGGGAUCUUCGGACCUUGCGCGAUUGAAUGAGCCGAUGUCGGAUUAGCUAGUUGGCGGGGUAAAGGCCCACCAAGGCGACGAUCCGUAGCUGGUCUGAGAGGAUGAUCAGCCACGCUGGAACUGAGACGCGGUCCAGACUCCUACGGGAGGCAGCAGUGGGGAAUAUUGGACAAUGGGCGCAAGCCUGAUCCAGCCAUACCGCGUGGGUGAAGAAGGCCUUCGGGUUGUAAAGCCCUUUUGUUGGGAAAGAAAAGCAGCAGGUUAAUACCCCGCUGUUCUGACGGUACCCAAAGAAUAAGCACCGGCUAACUUCGUG